Drosophila miranda is the source of this 3246-nucleotide long non-coding RNA. RefSeq lists it as uncharacterized. Lineage: Eukaryota; Metazoa; Arthropoda; Insecta; Diptera; Drosophilidae. The transcript has 2 exons. The record is from RefSeq and is a predicted model, not a curated record.
CGUUCGCUGCCAGUCGGCUAUCUGGAGCUACUGAUUAUACUUUUGCGCGGAACUUAGGCACUUUAUAUUUCAUCUUGCUACGCUACGAAAAUGGAAACAUCAGCCAGAACUAUAAUUUGUACUGGAUCGUGCUUUAAUAUCACUAUACGCUCAUACAUAAGUACCAAAUAUAGAUGGUUGGGUAUGUUGCGUGGGGAGCCCAACAUCCAUUUUGAAAGAUACAGAUUUAUUGGUCAUCUGACUUUAGGAGCACAUGCAUGCAGGAUACUUCCAAUUCUAGAAAUCCAAUAUAUCUAUGUGGAAUUCCACUUACAAGAGUAUUUCAUUUUCGGCGUAAGGCUUCAUUUCCGGGGCAUUUUUCUAUUUAUUGCAUCGUGUGAAAGUAGAUAAUAGCAUUACCUACCAAAAUAAUUGAAUGGGCGUAAAUCGGCUGGAGAGCAUCUAAUCUGGCUCUUAACACACAUCAUCGUACUCAUCACGCCGAAAACACAUGUAGGUAGGUUUCUAAACUGUGACAAAAUUCCUAUUCCAACGGUCACAUGGCGGUCAAGUUAUCAGGAAAGUGGCGUCCUCAUUGAUGUUGAUCGUUUGGAUUUGAAUUUGUAUACGCGUGUGGAGGAGCAUCGAACGGGCAGUGGACACAUUCAACCAGGUGGCAGCGAAGUGGAGCGGCUGGCCUGCUGAUAAUCGUCUAUCGUUUGAUAUGGGUUGAACAUUUCAAGUGUUCCACUGGGGAGAAUCCGCUUUGCACCCGGUUCCUUGUUUUGUGUUAAUGCAAUAGAGGUGUUUUUCCCUAGAUAACAUUCUAUUUUGUUUCAAGUAUGGCACUGCACAUACACACAAGCCAUGGUUCGACGAUAAUUUACAGAUAAUUUCCACUCAUCAUAUCCUCAGAAUGGAUUAGUGCUUUGGGUACAUUCAAGUCUUUAUUACGUCGCAUACAAAAGUGUUUACAGUUUCAGUUUAGCCGCAUUUAUGGCAUAGCUGCAGGAUGAUCGAAAUGGUGUUAUAUAACGAAACGGCUGGGUGCAGUGAUCCAUAUGGAUUUCUACUUCUUACGCUCUGCCUCCUCCAUGGCGCGCAUCAUUUUGGCAUCAUGCUUCUCCCUUAUGGCACGCUGGAGCUCCUCGCGAUGACCUGCAGCGGUGUGCCUGAAAGGAGCGAGUGGAAUCAAUGAGCUGUGUCCCAAAGGAACGCAACGGAGUGGAGACAAUGUGCUACCUUGUCCGUUUUGCUUGUUAAACUGCUUGAUGAGGCGACGCUUCUUGGAGGACUCCGGAAGGCUCUGAAUGUGCGCGUACAGCUGCGCCAGUGCAGUGUCCGUGUAAUUGCUGUUGUUUGCCGCUGCCGUGGCGGCACGAUCUACAAAAGUGUACACCGUGUUGACCGUCGAGUCGUCCGAGAUGGAUUCUUCAAGGGUUUGCUCCGGUGACAUGGUUUUUUGCGUUUGCACUCAAGAAAGUAUGCCCGAAUAUCGGUGGCUAGCUUUCCGGGAACUUCGAAGAUUUCCAGACCCUGCUGAAUCAUGUAGGACACAAUGCUGGACAUCUUCUUCGCCGUAUAGUGGAGCGCCUCAGGCGGCAUUUGCCUGGGGCAAAUCAGGUGCGGUGUAAACAAGAUGGCCAAAUUCUCCGCGGACAUCUUGUUGCUCUCCUCACGCGCUGCCACCGAAUGGAGCAUUUUAAUAAUGUGCUGCAGUAACUCGCGAUGCUCUUCGGGGAGCAGGAGAAGGAGCAGCUGCACCGAGUUGAGAAGAUGUUGUUGGCGCUCUGCGGUAGCCGCCACCUGACCCCCCAUUAAUGCCUGGCUAAGCGGCGCUAUCUGAAGAUGUGCUGGAUAGUGGGCGUCUGUAAGCAAAGGCUCUGGCAGCUCGGCCAGAAAGCUCUUAAAAACAGUGGCACAGUCGUGAGCCGAGAAUCCUGUCAGUUCCAAAUCCAAGGGCUGGUCGUGCUGUAUGUGCAUUCGUAGCUCGUUCUGCCUGGAAACGGCUCCUGUCUUGCGAAAUAGUCCCUCCUGGGUGAGAUCUGCAGAAUAGCAUUUCCGCAUUUAGAAUAAUUCAAUUUUCCGGACUCUCCCUGUCACUUACUCUUCUCCAGCAUAAGAAACUCUUUGAGCUCCUCCAGGUGCAUCAGAAAGCCUGCAUCAAUUUGUUGCUGCAGCGUUUCAGUGGGACUGUUGCCUGCCGACUUACUGCCUGCCCCAGCCGUGCAGCCUGUGGCAGGUCCGCGAUUCUUCUUGGAGAGGCGAUUCCACUUCUUUAUCUUGCCCUUAUCUUCGUAGACGAUUUCAUGGUACGGCAUGUCGAACCUGCAACCCAUAAAUCGGUAAGCACUAUAUUUCGAUGGGAUGGCAGCGUCGCUCGUGGCAACUUACUCGUCGGUGUUUAGUUCCAGCUCGAAGGAGAGGUGCAUGCGCACCAGAGACUUGUAUUUUUCAUAAUUGCUGUUGCGCAUGCGUGUCGCUAGGUCGCGGUCAUUAAAUUCAUUGAUGUUGGCGUAUUCCAUGUCCAUUGUUAUACGAAAGGGCGUAUACAGGGCGACAGCAGUAGCCAAAGCAACAGCACAGCACAGCACAAACGAAAAGGACUUCCGUAGAUUCGAAUCCCAGCACUCACACGCUCACUUUAACAAAUAUUACUUUUCUAAAAGUACAAUAUAGAAGGUUUGUGGCCUGACAGCAUAUUUGUUGAUAGCUUUGCUGGUGGAAUUUAUUUGCGGAAAAUUGGGCGAGACGCGCUGCAAAAAUUGAAAUAUUGAACUGGCAGAGCUGUCACUGGCGUCCAAAGAACAUUUUGUGCGAAAACGCCAUGUCAAUGUUAAAGAAUUAUAAGCUGUACACUAAUGCUUCUUUAUUUACAGCUGAAAUUAGUUAGUAAAUCUCUUAAAGAACUCGAAAUUACAAAUUUCGGACCAGCCGAUUGAGGCGCCCAUACACAUGGCGCCAAAGCUGGCCGAUAAACCGGCUAUAUACUGUGGUAGGACCGAUCCCUUGGACAUGUUGUGUUCUGUUCUGUUCUCCGUGAUGCAAAAAAUGGAACUGAAACUGACACGCAGACCGUUAUUUGGCUUGACAAAUUGCCCUGCAUGAGAUAACCAAAGCGUCGACGCUGGCGUACAACUGGCACGCUGGCAGAGGGGGAAAUACUUGAAGUUGGAGAGAGUCGUAAAUCAGAUUCUACAGUUUCCCUUUAGAACGGCGGCGGAGGCAGAGGUGUGGAAAGCGCGCUUUAACGUAAGCAAAAGUCCC